UCUAUUGGACAAUGGAGGCAACUCCGAUCCAGCAAUGCCGCGUGUGUGAUGAAGGCCCUAGGGUUGUAAAGCACUUUCAACGGUGAAGAUGAUGACGGUAGCCGUAGAAGAAGCCCCGGCUAACUUCGUGCCAGCAGCCGCGGUAAUACGAAGGGGGCGAGCGUUAUUCGGAAUUAUUGGGCGUAGAGGGCUCGCAGGCUGCUUGAACAGUUAGACGUGAAAUCCCCGGGCUCAACCUGGGAACUGCGUUUAAUACUAGCAAGCUAGAGAAAUAGAGAGGAAAGUGGAACUCCCAGUGUAGAGGUGAAAUUCGUAGAUAUUGGGAAGAACACCAGUGGCGAAAGCGACUUUCUGGCUAUUUUCUGACGCUGAGGAGCGAAAGCCUGGGGAGCAAACAGGAUUAGAUACCCUGGUAGUCCACGCCGUAAACGAUGUGUGCUACAUGUUGGAGGGAUACCUUUCAAUGUUCCAACUAACGCACUUAGCACACCGCCUGGGAAGUACGGUCCCAAGAUUAAACUCAAAGAAAUUGACGGGGCCCCCCAACGGGGACUGUUGUUAUUACCACCC
Molecule: ribosomal RNA, 570 nt
Filed under: uncultured bacterium
Lineage: Bacteria
Description: bacterial SSU rRNA
Rfam family: Bacterial small subunit ribosomal RNA
Source: RNAcentral